This 72-nucleotide transfer RNA is filed under the name Rattus norvegicus (Norway rat). It matches the Rfam family "tRNA". Rfam says of the family: Transfer RNA (tRNA) molecules are approximately 80 nucleotides in length. Their secondary structure includes four short double-helical elements and three loops (D, anti-codon, and T loops). Further hydrogen bonds mediate the characteristic L-shaped molecular structure. tRNAs have two regions of fundamental functional importance: the anti-codon, which is responsible for specific mRNA codon recognition, and the 3' end, to which the tRNAs corresponding amino acid is attached (by aminoacyl-tRNA synthetases). tRNAs cope with the degeneracy of the genetic code in two manners: having more than one tRNA (with a specific anti-codon) for a particular amino acid; and 'wobble' base-pairing, i.e. permitting non-standard base-pairing at the 3rd anti-codon position. Lineage: Eukaryota; Metazoa; Chordata; Mammalia; Rodentia; Muridae. The record is from Rfam by way of RNAcentral.
GGGGAUUUAGCUCAGCAGUAGAGCACUUGCCUAGCAAGCGCAAGGCCCUGGGUUCAGUCCCCAGCUCCCCCC